GUAGCUCAGUCGGUAGAGCAGAGGAUUGAAAAUCCUCGUGUCGGUGGUUCGAUUCCGCCU
This 60-nucleotide transfer RNA is filed under the name Pseudohongiella sp. Its description in RNAcentral is "tRNA-Phe". It matches the Rfam family "tRNA", at positions 8 to 63 of the family's 71-position model. Rfam says of the family: Transfer RNA (tRNA) molecules are approximately 80 nucleotides in length. Their secondary structure includes four short double-helical elements and three loops (D, anti-codon, and T loops). Lineage: Bacteria; Pseudomonadati; Pseudomonadota; Gammaproteobacteria; Pseudomonadales; Pseudohongiellaceae. The record is from RNAcentral.